GAUGAACGCUGGCGGCGUGCCUAAUACAUGCAAGUCGAGCGAACGGACGAGAAGCUUGCUUCUCUGAUGUUAGCGGCGGACGGGUGAGUAACACGUGGAUAACCUACCUAUAAGACUGGGAUAACUUCGGGAAACCGGAGCUAAUACCGGAUAAUAUUUUGAACCGCAUGGUUCAAAAGUGAAAGACGGUCUUGCUGUCACUUAUAGAUGGAUCCGCGCUGCAUUAGCUAGUUGGUAAGGUAACGGCUUACCAAGGCAACGAUGCAUAGCCGACCUGAGAGGGUGAUCGGCCACCCUGGAACUGAGACACGGUCCAGACUCCUACGGGAGGCAGCAGUAGGGAAUCUUCCGCAAUGGGCGAAAGUCUGACGGAGCAACGCCGCGUGAGUGAUGAAGGUCUUCGGAUCGUAAAACUCUGUUAUUAGGGAAGAACAUAUGUGUAAGUAACUGUGCACAUCUUGACGGUACCUAAUCAGAAAGCCACGGCUAACUACGUG
Molecule: ribosomal RNA, 497 nt
Filed under: uncultured bacterium
Lineage: Bacteria
Description: partial 16S ribosomal RNA
Rfam family: Bacterial small subunit ribosomal RNA
Source: RNAcentral